GGCGCUAUAGCCAAGUGGUUACGGCGACAGAUUAGAAUCUGGUUGAAUUCGUUGAUGUGGUCUAUCUGUUCCUCUUUGAGGGCGCAGGUUCGAAUCCUGCUGGCGUCG
Molecule: non-coding RNA, 108 nt
Organism: Marasmius tenuissimus
Lineage: Eukaryota; Fungi; Basidiomycota; Agaricomycetes; Agaricales; Marasmiaceae
Source: the annotation of a GenBank genome assembly